This 599-nucleotide ribosomal RNA is filed under the name uncultured bacterium. RNAcentral describes it as "bacterial SSU rRNA". It matches the Rfam family "Bacterial small subunit ribosomal RNA", at positions 8 to 653 of the family's 1533-position model. The record is from RNAcentral.
AGAGUUUGAUCCUGGCUCAGGAUGAACGCUGGCGGUCUGCUUAACACAUGCAAGUCGAACGGGCUCUUCGGAGCUAGUGGCGGACGGGUGAGUAACGCGUGAGAAUCUGCCUUCAGGAGGGGGAUAACGACUGGAAACGGUCGCUAAUACCCCAUAUGCCUCCGGGUGAAAAGUAAUUCGCCUGAAGAUGAGCUCGCGUCAGAUUAGCUAGUUGGUGGGGUAAGAGCCUACCAAGGCGACGAUCUGUAGCUGGUCUGAGAGGAUGAUCAGCCACACUGGGACUGAGACACGGCCCAGACUCCUACGGGAGGCAGCAGUGGGGAAUUUUCCGCAAUGGGCGCAAGCCUGACGGAGCAAGACCGCGUGGGGGAUGACGGCCUAAUGGUUGUAAACCCCUUUUCUCUGGGAAGAAGACUGACGGUACCAGAGGAAUCAGCCUCGGCUAACUCCGUGCCAGCAGCCGCGGUAAUACGGAGGAGGCAAGCGUUAUCCGGAAUUAUUGGGCGUAAAGCGUCCGUAGGUGGUUAUUCAAGUCUGCUGUCAAAGCGUGGGGCUUAACUCCAUAGAGGCAGUGGAAACUGAGUGACUAGAGUGCGGUA